Long non-coding RNA from Anopheles coluzzii, 1664 nucleotides. RefSeq lists it as uncharacterized. The record is from RefSeq and is a predicted model, not a curated record. NCBI's taxonomy places the organism in Eukaryota, Metazoa, Arthropoda, Insecta, Diptera, Culicidae. The transcript is spliced from 2 exons.
AAACCGCAUCAUUUCGUCUCUGUUUGUCAGCCAGCGCUGCGGCUCUUCCUCUUGCGCGGGGAAUCAGGCACCCGGGGAGCUCUUGCGGCUCGCAAGUAGCCGUGCUCGUCGGUGAGUACCCGAGAUGAAAUGAAUGAAUUUCAUGGUAAUCGGUUACAUUGGAACACGAAUACUACUCAGACCAUGGAUGACCAUGUAACAGUUACCGGGAUACGAUUGCACCAAAAGGGCACUUAUAGGGGACAAUUAUUUUUACUCACGGGAAACAGAAUUUCGAUUGUUAGCACUAAAAAAAUGCUUGGUGUGUAGUUUGAAAACCACAGACAUUAAUAAAACAUUAUUUACUGCACUGUAUUUAAUUUGUGCUCUUGACAGAUUUAUUUACAAAAAAACAUCCCCGGAUUCUCGUAGGUUUAUUUUUAUAUGCAAUGAAUUGAAAUACUCAAUUGCUAUAUAAUUCAGAAAAUUAUAAUUUGUGUUCAAAAUAAAAAAAGUCAACAUCCAAUGUAUUACAAUUAUUUUCCAUCGCCAAUUUGUGUUCUAGUAUAGCUUAGCUCAUGCCCAGAGCACGUCCUACGACUGCUGAUUCACUCGCCUUACUAGAAGCAACAGACACUUGCCCUUGCGGUUACUGGCUUCUUCACAAACACUUUAGAGAUGUGUACAAUAGCGAACUGUUACCAGCUGUACACAUCGAAUGGCGCUAUAUCGUCAAUUGGUGAGUUCUACGGCGGAUGCUAAACGGCGGUCUCUGACUCCGUUCAUACCUUGCGCUACGCAAUCGGCCGUUUUCGUGGAAACGUUUGGGUGUACGAAAAAAAACAGUUUCAUUCUACUGAGCACAGAAAUUCCACACCAUGAAUGAACAGAGAGCAUCGGUUGUUACUCGUUCUUUCUCACUCGGGCACACGUGGUACUACAUUUCCGGUCAUGUCCAAACACCCUCGCCACCAGCGUCACACACGCAUGGAUAGGUGGUUACUCGUGUGAACUCAGCGACACCCACGCUAUUCGGGUUGCAGAACUCGCGAGAGUUUGUGUCAUUUCUCGUCGAAUUUUCUCGCAUCAUCCCAGCCAUCAAAAAUGUUUCGCACUAGAGCAAGAGCUGCGCGUUGCGCAACAUUCGUCCCCACUGGAACCGAUCUGAAGGAGCUCCACCAUCCACAGUGCCAGCAGCCUUCGUUAAACGCACAUUCCAGAAAGGAUUGUUUAUGGGCCUCUGCCUCGCAUCGCCGGCUACCGCAGCACGAAGUCACAUAGGUUCGGUUUACGAGAAACAAAGCAGAAGCAGAUUGGACACGAGAGGAAAUCUGAUCAGAAUCAUAAUCACAGUUUGCUAUUUGUGCUCCGCUCUUGUCGAGCAAAACCUGUAUGUGUGUACAAUCAUUUAUCACUGUCAGUGUUGCUGCUAACGUUUUCUGAGCCCAUUUGAAGUUUAGUAAAACAACCCCAUAACGCAUAGGAAUAGAAUAUGCCCUGUUGAAAACAAUAUACUAUACGAAAUUAAAUACUAUAUUCUUUUCUAAUAAGUCAUGGUAUAUAAUAAGUCUAUAAUAAGUACUAAUAAUAAUUGAAACGUAAAACUCGUUCAUUUCUUAAGAGGCGAAUGAGGCCAAUUGGCUCAAAGUCUCUAUUAAAAAAAAGAAGAAAAAAAAGUUCAUUUC